GAUGAACGCUGGCGGCGUGCCUAAUACAUGCAAGUCGAGCGAACAGACGAGGAGCUUGCUCCUUUGACGUUAGCGGCGGACGGGUGAGUAACACGUGGAUAACCUACCUAUAAGACUGGGAUAACUUCGGGAAACCGGAGCUAAUACCGGAUAACAUGUUGAACCGCAUGGUUCAACAGUGAAAGACGGUCUUGCUGUCACUUAUAGAUGGAUCCGCGCCGCAUUAGCUAGUUGGUAAGGUAACGGCUUACCAAGGCAACGAUGCGUAGCCGACCUGAGAGGGUGAUCGGCCACACUGGAACUGAGACACGGUCCAGACUCCUACGGGAGGCAGCAGUAGGGAAUCUUCCGCAAUGGGCGAAAGCCUGACGGAGCAACGCCGCGUGAGUGAAGAAGGUCUUCGGAUCGUAAAACUCUGUUAUUAUGGAAGAACAAAUGUGUAAGUAACUAUGCACGUCUUGACGGUACCUAAUCAGAAAGCCACGGCUAACUACGUG
RNAcentral lists this ribosomal RNA (497 nucleotides) under uncultured bacterium. Its description in RNAcentral is "partial 16S ribosomal RNA". It matches the Rfam family "Bacterial small subunit ribosomal RNA", at positions 28 to 507 of the family's 1533-position model. The record is from RNAcentral.